RNAcentral lists this long non-coding RNA (1016 nucleotides) under Rattus norvegicus (Norway rat). RNAcentral describes it as "long non-coding RNA NONRATT007342". Lineage: Eukaryota; Metazoa; Chordata; Mammalia; Rodentia; Muridae. The record is from RNAcentral.
AAAAACUGCAUGGUAUUGGUACAGAGACAGACAGAUAGACCAAUGGAAUAGAAUUGAAGACCCAGAAAUGAACCCACACACCUAUGGCUACUUGAUUUUUGACAAAGGAGCCAAAACCAUCCAAUGGAAAAAAAGAUAGCAUUUUCAGCAAUGGUGCUGCUUCAACUGGAGGUCAGCAUGUAGAAGAAUGCAGGUCGAUCCAUGCUUAUCACCCUGUACAAAGCUUAAGUCCUUGACCCACUUAUGUCAUAAAUUUUCGUAACAGAGCAUGGAAAAUUAUUUGUCUCCACCAUUCAUAAGCUUGAUUAUAAUAAUCUGAAAUAAUAGUAAUUUGAAUAUUUGAACCUAGUGUGUGUUCAUGGGCUAGAAAAUUGAAUAAACUUCUAUGUUCAAAUAUAAUGCUUUGCUAACCAAUAAUAUCUCUUGAGAUACUACAACUACAUACAUAUUAAUUAAUAUUCCUACAAAGUAAAUUACCAUCUUUAUCUGCAUAGCUUCUAUGUGUAGUAGUUGAAUAAACUUGAAUGACAUAUGGAUUGUAUUGCCUAAUUGAAGAUAUGAUGAUUUUUAUAUGAUUUGAUAUUUAGGAAUAAAAGGCAAGCAGUUGUGGAAUAAUUAUCAGUGACUCAGUUGAGAAUGAUUUAAGAUCUAACAGUUUCAAUCCAAAAGAAUUAACACUGUGAAGUAAUGUGCUAUUAUUUUUGGUUUACAGUUUUGUCUUCAUAUAGGCUUAGAAUUACUUACAUAUCAAAUACAGCCAUGUUAUUUCUACUAGAUUAUACUCAUGAGCAAUGAAGGGUCAUAAGACUGUAUGUAGCAUUGUGCAAAUACAUCUGAUUUUGCAUUGAAGAAAUUAAUGGUUUUUUUCUAGAUUUUUUUCUUAAUUUACAAGAUUCUUUGUGUAUUUUAAUGUCAAGAAAUUUAUUGGCACAAUAUACUUAUAUAUUUUAAUUGCAAUCAUCACAUGAUAAGUAUUUCAUUUUCUCCUUCCAAUAAACAUGUAACUCUUUUAUGGU